This 69-nucleotide transfer RNA is filed under the name Marmota monax (woodchuck). It matches the Rfam family "tRNA". From Rfam's summary of the family: Transfer RNA (tRNA) molecules are approximately 80 nucleotides in length. Their secondary structure includes four short double-helical elements and three loops (D, anti-codon, and T loops). The record is from Rfam by way of RNAcentral. Lineage: Eukaryota; Metazoa; Chordata; Mammalia; Rodentia; Sciuridae. RNAcentral also lists the same sequence under 1 other name.
GGGGCUGGAGCUCAGUCGUAGAGCGCUUGCCUAGCAUGCAUGAGGCUCUGGGUUCAAUCCUCAGCACCA